UCGUUAAGUGGGUGAAUCUGUAUGGGAAUUUGGGGGUGGAAUGGAGGGCCUCGGUGGAGAAGUGGGGAGGAGGUGAUUGGCUCCUCCAGAAGAGGGUGGAACAGGGCCUGCUUUGUUAAGAGACUGCGUCCCCUGUGGAUGCAUUUCUAAAACUAGGUUGAUGGGACCCAUUCUUAAAAGCAGUCGAAUCACACACACUGCUUCUGAUACAGCCUUGGCGUGGAGUCUUACUAGUGUGUGCCUUGUAGCAGGGGGAACCCAGAGGUUGCUUAAGGCCUACCUCUUGAUUUGUGCUUACUAAGUAGGUAAUUAUGUAAUUGAAGGAACUGAAUGAAAUCAAAUUACAGGGGCAGGGAUGAGAAACCAACUGCAAAAGAAAACCAACUGCACUUUUAAGAGGUUGGCGUGCUCGGCUUUAAUGUUAAAAGGCAUCAAGUAAAAUGGCUUCAUUUAUCUGGAGCCUUUAAAGGCCCAUGACCUGAAGCUAUUAAAAUAAGGAGGAGUACAGGAAGAUGCAGUGUAUAAUUGCAGAACAGGAAAUGAAGCAAAAGAAUAAUUUUGGCUAACAGUCGUGAAGAAUAAUCAGGAGGUGUUUUCCAGAUAAUACAAGAUUGAAAUUCUACUUAUUCUUCCACACUUCUUUUACAUCAUUUACUUGAGGUCUGUGGAAGAUUAUAGUACAUGUUUUAGCUGGUUCUCACAAUAGUCCUAAUAGUUAACUGGAAAGAUACUGACUUAUUCAAGGCCACCCAGUAGGCUCCCUGACUGUGCAGAGGUCUGAACUUCUUUCAGAUGCAAAUCUAGUAUAUUCUGUUAACUGCUAAAUGAAUCAGGAUUACAAUUCUUGAUUAAAUUUAAAAUACAGCUAAUAUAAAUCGUCUAGGUUGGCAUCUAAGACACAUUUAGCCCAGAAAAAGUUGAGGAAAUUUAAUAAACCCCUAUGUAUGAUAAAUGUAAUGUUGAUUUUAAUAGCUAUUUCUGUUAAGUAAAAUGGAAAAUGUAGAAAUGUAGAGGAACAUAAAUUAAUUUGCUCCAAAAUAAGCCUGGUUUUGCAUAACUUGCCAGGGUAAAAUAAAGUGUGUGACACACUCUGCAUUGUGCAAACCCAGCCAGUACUGUAUAUUUAAUUUAUUGGUUAGCGUGCACUAUGUACCCAGACAGCUGGGUUAAUUAUGGGCUUGCAUGUUGUGUGAACAAAGCCUCAAUUUACAAUUGCAGUUAAUUUGUAAUAGUAACUGAACUGUUGUAGGUAUCUCUUUAAAAUGUAGGAUAAAAAGGUUUUUUUAGAUAGCCCUCUUAAUUCUUAAUGAGUCUAACAUUUUUAAAUAUGCAUUUUUAUUGUUUCUACUUAUUUAGCAUCAUUAGUAUAUUCCACCUCCAUGAAUUUCAAAAGCAAAUAUAAACAAGGGGGGUAGGUGUCCAACCUAAAAGAUCUUAACAUUUAAAGCAAGCAAUGAAGAAGAGAAUAAAACCGGGCGGUAAGAAGAGGAAGAUGGAGAGACUGAAUGGGUCAGGAGAAUGGCAUGGAAUUUGGCUAGAUUGUGAAUGAGCAUAUAUGGUAACUGAUGAUGAUUAAACGCAGCUGGACUUGCUGAGGAAGGCAGAAGGCUGGCAAGUGCUGGAGUCUCAAGAAAAUGCCAGGCCUUCCUAAGAAGCCAUGAUCACACUGAUAACUGAGCAGCUACAAAAGCAGAGCUUGGAGAAAUUGAAAUGCAUAUCAUUCAGCAUCAACCUGGUCUCGAGUCCACGGUGAACGUGCCUGGAAAUUAAUACAUUAUAGCAGCACAAAGUCCCGGCAGGUGCAGCCAGGAACAGACCUUAUCUUUUCCACCCAGAAGUUUGAACACUGAGGUGUAGACUUCCAAGAAUGGGAUGUGGCCUAAUGAAGCUUUUGCAGGAAAGCCUUUGCCCGAUCAUGCAAAUGUGGCCAGCUGUGGCAGCCCCUUCCAGAUAGCGCCCGGUAAGAAUAUCUGGCUGGACUUCUACCCUUUGUGCCUACAUCUCUUGUCUUCUUUUUCUUCUUAUGUUUUCUACAUGAAGCACAUAAUUAACAAGAUAAACUUACUUUCUGGUCUCCCUGUGUAGGCUAUAUAUCUGAGAUAUUGUUACCCUUCUUAAAUGAACAUUUGGUCAAAAUAGCAAAUGUUCUUUUUUAAUCAGUGGUCACUACGAUAAAAGCUGGAAGUCUGUUUAAACAAUAACAGGAACUACUAUUUUCAGGCAAUCUAUAGAGGAGGGAAAAGUUUUAAAAGUUUAAUCGGUUUUAAACUGUAGGUUUCUUAUUUCUGCAUGUUUGUAUUGGAAGUUCUCAAUAGUUUUAUGUUGCAGUAUCCAUAUUAGCUAUGGUAAAUGUAUAGACUUGAAUAAAUAGUUCCAAUGGUAUUCUUACGUAAGAAUUUUAGGAUGUAUAAUAUACAUAAUAGUUAACUCUUUCUAAAAACUGGCUCUAGCAAAAAAGUAAAAACCUAUUGUGAUGAAUAAUUUUAAAGAAUCUUUAAUAGUCAAUACUAUAACAACCUCAAUACAUAAAUAGAGCAAUUUUAGCAUGCAAUGUAAGAAAUUCAAGGUGAAUAAAUUAAAGCAUAUAUUCUAAAAUUUAAAAUUAAUAUGCUACCACUCUUAUUACAAAAA
This is a non-coding RNA of Thamnophis sirtalis, 2631 nucleotides long. The record is from RefSeq and is a predicted model, not a curated record. NCBI's taxonomy places the organism in Eukaryota, Metazoa, Chordata, Lepidosauria, Squamata, Natricidae.